CUCUACCUGGUGUCACUUUGUGGAUUCUGGAUGCACCAGAUAAAAGGCAAAAAAGGACAAUGGCCAAUAACUUAAGCCAAAUUAGGACAGCAUCAAGAGGUCAGAAGUAUGGAACCCAAAGAGCCAUUUCUAUGUUCUGUUAGCUUUCACUGACAGGCCAAUGCAGAUACCCUCCUCCCUACGCCCAACCAAGAUCCUCAUGGCCUCUGCCUAUCUGUCCACUCAGCCUCCAUGGAAGUCAGCUCCCCAACAGAACAACUGACAAGGUAAAGAAUCUAAAGUGUCAUUUUCCCCAGGCCCUUUGCGCUCCACCUUUAUCUUCAACACCCCUGAGAAAAAGAAUAAUAUCCAAGGCUUGCCCUACCUUGCAUGCUCAAAUCUUUUAAGACAGUGG
Perognathus longimembris pacificus (Pacific pocket mouse) is the source of this 394-nucleotide long non-coding RNA. RefSeq lists it as uncharacterized. Lineage: Eukaryota; Metazoa; Chordata; Mammalia; Rodentia; Heteromyidae. The transcript has 3 exons. The record is from RefSeq and is a predicted model, not a curated record.